ACUCCAGCAUUCUAACAGACCAGUAGAGGCCAGAGGAACUAUGAUGAGAAAUUGUAUCCCGCAUACAAGGAGGGUUUGCUGAGCCAGAGCAGGAUCAAGCCACAGGAGAAACAGACUGGAUCAGGGUGGUUAUUUUCAAAACACUUCUAAGGGCAGUACUGUACUACUCCCUGCCGGGUGGCACUCUCAAAAUGUAUCAUUGGGCAAUAACACCAUUGUUACUAGACACUAGUAAACAAGGACAGAGCAGCAAACUACUUCAAACAGUAGGGGACAGUCAGGAUCAGCAGUGACACAGUGACUGACUGAAGCAGAGGACCUCCGGAAAGAGGUGGACUAAAGCUCAUUUCACAUGGAGAUGUGCAUAAGCUUUUGGAGGCCAGAGGUGGAGUUAUGGUUUACAUCUAGAUGUCCCUCAAGAGCCUCGUUUGUUUGCAAGCAGAAAUUUUGGAAGAAGAUUGGACCAUGGAGUGCUAAAGAUUGACCCCAGAGCCUCACACAUACUAUGGAAGAACUCAACCACUGAGCUACAUCUCCAGCAUAGCAGUACUUUCUUGAUGGAGUUGUUUUAAACAUAAAAUGAAGUCAUGCAGAAAUAA
This is a long non-coding RNA of Fukomys damarensis (Damara mole-rat), 599 nucleotides long. RefSeq lists it as uncharacterized. NCBI's taxonomy places the organism in Eukaryota, Metazoa, Chordata, Mammalia, Rodentia, Bathyergidae. The transcript has 3 exons. The record is from RefSeq and is a predicted model, not a curated record.